CUCUGUUUUCCUGUUGCAAGUCUCUAAUCUGUGUGUUCUCUUGGGACAGCAGAAUGUGAGGUUUGUAUUUGGACAUGUCCUUCAUAUCGGAUGCAUCCUCUUGAUACUGGACAAAUAGAGACAGACUAAGCAUGCCUUAAAGAGAACAGCGGCAGAUGCAACUGAAGAGGCAGAAGUUAGGGCUCCAGGGCAGGAUUCUCAGCCCCGACCCAGGAAAAUGGUCUCACCGCCGCCCUCUGAGACCGGGAAUAAAUUCCAGGCCGAGUUCCCACUUUACCUCGCUCUCCACCCUUCAGUGCCCAGAAUCCGAGAGCACUGGACUCCUACCCUCUGCCUGACCUGGUCCGGAAGCGCUGUCCCCGCCUCCCGCAUAGCUGCUACCCGCCGGUGCAGCGCCGCCGACUGAUCCACCAGCGACUCGGCGGCCGCAUCGUGCUCCCGUAGCCUCUCCAGCAGCGUCUUGGCGUCUGUCAGGAUCUUCUCGAUGGUGCAGCUCAUAGCAGCAGCACCACCCCAGCCCCUGCCGGGCUCAGCUACGCGACUCGCUCAGAUCUUCU
This 557-nucleotide long non-coding RNA is filed under the name Homo sapiens (human). RNAcentral's name for it is "HSALNT0013057". The record is from RNAcentral. Lineage: Eukaryota; Metazoa; Chordata; Mammalia; Primates; Hominidae.